CUUGACUGUGAACACGAACGGUUCAGCGGCUCACGAGUCGACACACAGUAAGGAAGAGAAGGCUGCAUGUCCCAGUAUGGUGCCUCUGCCUGAGGCCUCGGAGUGAAGGAGCGCUCUGCAGUGUGUGUGUGUGUGCAGUGCAUGGAGCUCUCACGAGGGUCUCUGUCGAUGGGGCUGAAGGCCUGGAUGGCCGAGGGACGCUUGGGUUCUCGGAGCGAUCGGGCCCCUGCCCCGUCCCCCUGGACCCUCCCGCUGCUGUGGAACUGGAAGCUGCAUAAGUGAGUCCAGACCCAGAGCAGCACCUCUAGUGUUCACUCCUCUCACGUGAGUGCGAUACAGUGCAGCCUGACGGCCGCUGGAGCUCGUCCCGUGCAGAACACGAUGGUCUGAGUGAACUGGGCUUGCUGAUGGGUUGAGGACGCUUCAGUCACUUCAGCAUGUUUCCGGAUGUCAGAUGAAGGCAGUUUCUCCUCACUUCUAUACUUCUUUUCCUUUUUUAACAGUACUGUAAGUGAAUGCAUCUGUAUGCAUUUCAUGUUUUAUUUGUGGUUUUGCACAUUACCUUGAAAUCCAGCUAUUUUGAAAGCUUUUUUAGUACUUUAUUUACAUCCCUUUUUUUGGAUUUGCUGAAAUGAAAUCAAGCAGCAUAAUGCUCCCAGCACGUUAGUGUAACACUAUCCUGUUUUGUUUUUUUAGAAGCAAAAUGAUUGACUUCCAAACUUUAGGAUUACUUUUAUGAAUGUAAAUAUGGCGAUCGAGUUCACAGCAAAGGUGCACAAGGUGUUUAGAAAGAUGCAAGGCAGAUUUGUUUGGCAUGUUUUAGCAGCUAAUUUAAUUUGAUGGCUUUCAUUGCACACGUCCUGCACUGCAUUUUAAUGACCAACAGCAAAAAAAAAA
Sinocyclocheilus grahami is the source of this 897-nucleotide long non-coding RNA. RefSeq lists it as uncharacterized. The transcript has 2 exons. Lineage: Eukaryota; Metazoa; Chordata; Actinopteri; Cypriniformes; Cyprinidae. The record is from RefSeq and is a predicted model, not a curated record.